UGGCUGUGUGGGUAACUGUGUGGCUAACGCUACUUUCUCCUGCCUUUCAGAUGCAAUCGGCUGCAUUUAACCAGACGAGACAGUGACCGCGGCACCUGAGCCUCGGUGGCGGGAUGGCGGUGGAUGAUGGAGGCAGCCCAAACAGCUCUACAACUGCCGACUUGAUUGGUGGAGAUGACGGGAAGCACAAAAGCUACAGUAGUAACAUUAAACACGGCCCAUUUCUGGAGAAGAAUCGGAGAAGUGUGCAGAACGACUGGAUGCUAUUUCCAUCAGGAACCCAACUGUUACUGAAGGAGCAGGAGAGCAGAAGGCUGUCACCUUUUGUCCCUUACCACCCAGCACAAGCUAGCAGCAGGUAGGACCUCACAGAGGAACUGCCACCCAGCCCUGAAGCCCUGGAGCUCUCUAGAGAGAUGUCUGCAGCUCCAACACACCCAUCUGGGAUAUAGAAAGGGAGACAUCUGGGCACCCUGACCUACGAGGGGAGAGGAGCUCCUCAGCAGGCCUGUCUCACAGCAGUUUAGCUCCCAUGGGACAGAAGUUAGGGUGAUUGCUUGUCAAGACCCAUUUAGCUCCCAGUGAGAGCUCAGUGUGUGGGGCUAAGAUUACACACAUCCAACAGUACACUUAGAGCUCUUCAUUUGCAGAGA
This 653-nucleotide long non-coding RNA is filed under the name Astyanax mexicanus (Mexican tetra). RNAcentral's name for it is "lncRNA (ENSAMXG00005013885.1)". Lineage: Eukaryota; Metazoa; Chordata; Actinopteri; Characiformes; Acestrorhamphidae. The record is from RNAcentral.